GUGCCAGCAGCCGCGGUAAUACCGGCGGCUCGAGUGGUGGCCGCUAUUAUUGGGCUUAAAGCGUCCGUAGCUUGGUUGUUAAGUCUCCUGGGAAAUCCGCCGGCUCAACCGGCGGGCGUUCGGGAGAUACUGGCAACCUAGGGACCGGGAGAGGUGAGAGGUACUCCAGGGGUAGGAGUGAAAUCCUGUAAUCCUUGGGGGACCACCUGUGGCGAAGGCGUCUCACUAGAACGGCUCCGACAGUGAGGGA
RNAcentral lists this ribosomal RNA (250 nucleotides) under uncultured archaeon. RNAcentral describes it as "partial 16S ribosomal RNA". It matches the Rfam family "Archaeal small subunit ribosomal RNA", at positions 455 to 704 of the family's 1478-position model. The record is from RNAcentral.